UGCCUGGCAAACAUAGCCUAUGGUGCUGCUAUUCCCAAACUCUUUAGCUUCCCGCGCGCUAUUCCCAAUCCCCCUCUUGAUACUCUGGGAGAACCCUAACUCUCUCCAUUCCUGAAAAUCCUUCUCUCUCUCUUCUAUUACUUUCCCUCUCAAAAUCCCCUCUCUCCUAUCUCUGCUGUAGAAAAUCUCGAUCUCAGCUGGAGAUAAACUAAGCAGUCGAAAGUUGACCGCACCGAUGAGGGAAGAAUCAAGGAGAGACGUUGAAGAGAGGACCACUCAAGACUCCUUAUAAGUUAUACUUGAGGAUUGCUUUAAGAGGGUUUCGAGAGAGGAAGGUUUGCUGUCUUUCUGGAGGGGAAAUCAGGACAACAUCAUUCGGUAUUUCCCUACCCAGAUGCUACCACAAGUACAAUUAAGAGGAGAGGGAUAGCAAGGGGACUCAUAUUUAUAUGAUACCGAUACGUAUCAGCCAGUUUUCUAUCCACAAUGUCAGUCUAAUUGGGCAAAAAGGCGCUCAUUAUUGAAUUUUCAACCAAUACCAAUUGUACAUCUGGAUGUCAAUCAUGAUUGAUAUCAAUACAACCAGGCGAUCCAAUACCAAUACCCAAAACCAUGGUACCAAUUAAUUCCCAUCUUUCAUCAUGGGUGAAUGAAAACUUGGUCCAAAAUAAUUUUAUACAGUUCUCAUA
Molecule: long non-coding RNA, 689 nt
Organism: Macadamia integrifolia
Lineage: Eukaryota; Viridiplantae; Streptophyta; Magnoliopsida; Proteales; Proteaceae
Exons: 3
Source: RefSeq, a predicted model, not a curated record